Drosophila montana is the source of this 568-nucleotide long non-coding RNA. RefSeq lists it as uncharacterized. The record is from RefSeq and is a predicted model, not a curated record. Lineage: Eukaryota; Metazoa; Arthropoda; Insecta; Diptera; Drosophilidae. The transcript is spliced from 2 exons.
GCCUUGCGCAACGGUUGCUAUAAUAAUGGAUUUAUUUCUGUCAAUUUGCGUUUUGCUUUGUUUAUUUCUGCACAUAAUCGUCAAGUUUUUAAAGUGGAUCGGUCAUGAUUUACGUUUUAUUUAUGGUCUGCUCAUGUGCUGCUUGAGUCCAUGUUUUUGGCUAUGCAAAAAACUGUGCCAAAUGCUGCGGAAUUUAUUUGACUUAGUUCUGGAGUAAAUCGUGCGAGUUCUCAAUAUACAAAAAUUAUUUGAUUAAAAGUGCAAGAUAUUUCAAAUAAUUGUUAAAUUAUUGUCGUUUUUUUUAAAUGUAUUUUACAAAUGAAUAAGAAUAAAAGUUAAGAAUUAUAAGUAUUGUGUCACGAUUUCUUUUUAAUUAUAUUGAAGGAUUCAAGGACUCCAAUCGAUUCUAAGGACUUUUAUGAAUCUAACGAGGCUAAUCCUUCCAGGAUCGCAUAUAUAUUAAUCCAAAUAUAGUCAUUUUAAAAUAAAAUCGAAAAAACAUGUAAAAAACAACAAUUUUGUUAAUUUUAACAAAAAUAAAUUAAAUAACUUAAAAUUGUUAAACAAA